Molecule: long non-coding RNA, 655 nt
Filed under: Pan paniscus (pygmy chimpanzee)
Lineage: Eukaryota; Metazoa; Chordata; Mammalia; Primates; Hominidae
Description: lncRNA (ENSPPAG00000044451.1)
Source: RNAcentral
GAUGGAAGGAUUCAAUAUCCCUGCUGGAAAUCAGCUCGUCUUCUUCACACAGUGCUGUUGAACGUGGAAAGAACUUAUUUCUGAGGCAUAAUUACCAGCUCUAACAUAUGAAAAGUCGUAAGGAUAUUUAAUUUUUUCCUUUUCUUAAAUUUCAGUCAAACUCUUUAAAAUGUUAACUUUUAUUUCCCCCUGUGACAAAGCUUGUUUACUAGACUGUGUCUCCAUGCUUGGGCUUGUUGUUUGUCAAUAGAUGUUGGAAUCCAUACAUGCUCACCAGCCUUUCUUUCUUCAGGAUGAUAGACAGACAUACAGCAUAAAUGUAUCGAGGACAAAAAAUAUCUUCUGAAUGCAGCCGUCAGCGAGCCAUUGAAUGUCCUGUAGCAAAGGCCUCAAUGACAAAGACAAUGUCAAGUGCUGACUACUCACCUUAUAGACCAGGAGCUGGGAAUCUAACUCCAGGCCCUUAGUCAGAUCACACCUUCAUAGUCCACUGGGGGCAGUAUGUUCUGCUAGCUGGAACAUCCAUUUCUGAGUGCUGGAAUCCCACCAUCUGCUGUACCUUUGGUCCACACUCAAAGUAAGUUAUAUACAGAGGUCUCUGAGCCUCACUUUCUCUCUCUAUAUAUAUAAAACAGAAUUGUACCACAGAAGAAUC